GGGAGGAUGGCCGAGUUUGGUUAUGGCGUGUGACUCAAGAAGCUUUGCAUCAAAAGUUCUUGGCCUUCUGGUUAACAGGGGCUUGUUUUCUCAUGGGGAAACCCGCGUGGGUUCGAAUCCCACUCCUCUCA
RNAcentral lists this transfer RNA (131 nucleotides) under Fonsecaea erecta. It matches the Rfam family "tRNA". From Rfam's summary of the family: Transfer RNA (tRNA) molecules are approximately 80 nucleotides in length. Their secondary structure includes four short double-helical elements and three loops (D, anti-codon, and T loops). Further hydrogen bonds mediate the characteristic L-shaped molecular structure. tRNAs have two regions of fundamental functional importance: the anti-codon, which is responsible for specific mRNA codon recognition, and the 3' end, to which the tRNAs corresponding amino acid is attached (by aminoacyl-tRNA synthetases). tRNAs cope with the degeneracy of the genetic code in two manners: having more than one tRNA (with a specific anti-codon) for a particular amino acid; and 'wobble' base-pairing, i.e. permitting non-standard base-pairing at the 3rd anti-codon position. Lineage: Eukaryota; Fungi; Ascomycota; Eurotiomycetes; Chaetothyriales; Herpotrichiellaceae. The record is from Rfam by way of RNAcentral.